RNAcentral lists this ribosomal RNA (355 nucleotides) under uncultured bacterium. Its description in RNAcentral is "bacterial SSU rRNA". It matches the Rfam family "Bacterial small subunit ribosomal RNA", at positions 527 to 881 of the family's 1533-position model. The record is from RNAcentral.
GUAGGGGACAAGCGUUAUCCGGAUUUACUGGGUGUAAAGGGAGCGUAGACGGAUGGACAAGUCUGGUGUGAAAGGCUGGGGCUCAACCCCGGGACUGCAUUGGAAACUGCCCGUCUUGAGUGCCGGAGAGGUAAGCGGAAUUCCUAGUGUAGCGGUGAAAUGCGUAGAUAUUAGGAGGAACACCAGUGGCGAAGGCGGCUUACUGGACGGUAACUGACGUUGAGGCUCGAAAGCGUGGGGAGCAAACAGGAUUAGAUACCCUGGUAGUCCACGCGGUAAACGAUGAAUGCUAGGUGUCGGGGAGCAAAGCUCUUCGGUGCCGCCGCAAACGCAUUAAGCAUCCCGCCUGGGGAGU